Molecule: long non-coding RNA, 922 nt
Filed under: Sarcophilus harrisii (Tasmanian devil)
Lineage: Eukaryota; Metazoa; Chordata; Mammalia; Dasyuromorphia; Dasyuridae
Description: lncRNA (ENSSHAG00000028620.1)
Source: RNAcentral
AGGAGUGAAUUCUAUUCCAGUCUACUAUUCUGCUGACUCCUCAGUUGGAGGGUUUUGAGCUCUGUCCCAGUUUCAGUGACCCAACAGCUGGUGCUGCCAGAAUACUCAAUUCAUAGCCUUUUCUGUAUCAUGUUCCUGUGUGCUCAGGAGUGGCUGACACUGGGGCUGAAUGUUCCUCUGCUCUUCUAUCACUUUUGGAGCAUGAUCUACACUUUAGUGAGUUCUUAACUGAGAGAUAACCUAUGUCACCAGAGACUGACACCAGCAAAAGGACAAAGGCUUGAGGAGAGAAGGCGAUCGAUACUGGAGAUUGGAUCGGAAGGACCUGGAGGAGGUGGUGGAUUUGGAAUUGGAGGCCAUUGGUUGAACGUGUGGAGGAAAACCAGGGAGAAGGGAAAGAGAGACGCAGUGGGCAGAAUGACUGGUUCAGAAUGCAGCUCGUGGGCUGGCUGACUGUGAAGGGCUCUUUUACUCUGUGUGUUGCAGUGGCUGGCAUUCCCACACAUGAACUGUGUAUCACUCCUGAGAAUCGGGGAGGUGGGGGAGAGCACAAAGCCAAACCUCUCAUGGGGGAGAACUGCUGCUUACCCAGAGUACUCCGGAAAACAGCUCCCUGCAGUUGCUUUUCACACUGGGUUCCUGGUAACAGUUCAGAUGGACUGUGGGAGUGGAGGCUGGGCUGGCUCUCUGCAAAGGGAUUUGAAUGCUCAGAAUACACUUCCGAGCCAGAGAUGUGGCCUGUGUGGAUAGCUGACAACAGAGAAACUCUUCUUGCCUCUUCCAAGCCCUUCCGGUGCCCCCUUUGGCUAGCAGUCAUGUGUGGUCUUCCUCUGGGCAGCCUCUGAGAGUAAAACAUCCAGGGGAGGUUCAUUUUUUUGUCAUGUUCCAAUUGAUUGGUGAUGGAAUGUUGCUAGGAUUCCAC